GGGACACGUGGUAUCCUGUCUGAAUAUGGGGGGACCAUCCUCCAAGGCUAAAUACUCCUGACUGACCGAUAGUGAACCAGUACCGUGAGGGAAAGGCGAAAAGAACCCCGGCGAGGGGAGUGAAAAAGAACCUGAAACCGUGUACGUACAAGCAGUGGGAGCACCUUCGGGUGUGACUGCGUACCUUUUGUAUAAUGGGUCAGCGACUUAUAUUCUGUAGCAAGGUUAACCGUAUAGGGGAGCCGCAGGGAAACCGAGUCUUAACUGGGCGUUAAGUUGCAGGGUAUAGACCCGAAACCCGGUGAUCUAGCCAUGGGCAGGUUGAAGGUUGGGUAACACUAACUGGAGGACCGAACCGACUAAUGUUGAAAAAUUAGCGGAUGACUUGUGGCUGGGGGUGAAAGGCCAAUCAAACCGGGAGAUAGCUGGUUCUCCCCGAAAGCUAUUUAGGUAGCGCCUCGUGAACUCAUCUUCGGGGGUAGAGCACUGUUUCGGCUAGGGGGUCAUCCCGACUUACCAACCCGAUGCAAACUACGAAUACCGAAGAAUGUUAUCACGGGAGACACACGGCGGGUGCUAACGUCCGUCGUGAAGAGGGAAACAACCCAGACCGCCAGCUAAGGUCCCAAAGUCAUGGUUAAGUGGGAAACGAUGUGGGAAGGCACAGACAGCCAGGAUGUUGGCUUAGAAGCAGCCAUCAUUUAAAGAAAGCGUAAUAGCUCACUGGUCGAGUCGGCCUGCGCGGAAGAUGUAACGGGGCUAAACCAUGCACCGAAGCUGCGGCAGCGACACUAUGUGUUGUUGGGUAGGGGAGCGUUCUGUAAGCCUGCGAAGGUGUGCUGUGAGGCAUGCUGGAGGUAUCAGAAGUGCGAAUGCUGACAUAAGUAACGAUAAAGCGGGUGAAAAGCCCGCUCGCCGGAAGACCAAGGGUUCCUGUCCAACGUUAAUCGGGGCAGGGUGAGUCGACCCCUAAGGCGAGGCCGAAAGGCGUAGUCGAUGGGAAACAGGUUAAUAUUCCUGUACUUGGUGUUACUGCGAAGGGGGGACGGAGAAGGCUAUGUUAGCCGGGCGACGGUUGUCCCGGUUUAAGCAUGUAGGCUGAUUGUCCAGGCAAAUCCGGAUAAUCAAGGCUGAGGUGUGAUGACGAGGCACUACGGUGCUGAAGUAACAAAUGCCCUGCUUCCAGGAAAAGCCUCUAAGCAUCAGGUAACAUUAAAUCGUACCCCAAACCGACACAGGUGGUCAGGUAGAGAAUACCAAGGCGCUUGAGAGAACUCGGGUGAAGGAACUAGGCAAAAUGGUGCCGUAACUUCGGGAGAAGGCACGCUGGUGUGUAGGUGAAGUCCCUGCGGAUGGAGCUGAGACCAGUCGAAGAUACCAGCUGGCUGCAACUGUUUAUUAAAAACACAGCACUGUGCAAACACGAAAGUGGACGUAUACGGUGUGACGCCUGCCCGGUGCCGGAAGGUUAAUUGAUGGGGUUAUCCGUAAGGAGAAGCUCUUGAUCGAAGCCCCGGUAAACGGCGGCCGUAACUAUAACGGUCCUAAGGUAGCGAAAUUCCUUGUCGGGUAAGUUCCGACCUGCACGAAUGGCGUAAUGAUGGCCAGGCUGUCUCCACCCGAGACUCAGUGAAAUUGAACUCGCUGUGAAGAUGCAGUGUACCCGCGGCAAGACGGAAAGACCCCGUGAACCUUUACUAUAGCUUGACACUGAACAUUGAGCCUUGAUGUGUAGGAUAGGUGGGAGGCUUUGAAGCGUGGACGCCAGUCUGCGUGGAGCCAACCUUGAAAUACCACCCUUUAAUGUUUGAUGUUCUAACGUUGGCCCCUGACCGGGGUUGCGGACAGUGUCUGGUGGGUAGUUUGACUGGGGCGGUCUCCUCCCAAAGCGUAACGGAGGAGCACGAAGGUUAGCUAAUCCUGGUCGGACAUCAGGAGGUUAGUGCAAUGGCAUAAGCUAGCUUGACUGCGAGCGUGACGGCGCGAGCAGGUGCGAAAGCAGGUCAUAGUGAUCCGGUGGUUCUGAAUGGAAGGGCCAUCGCUCAACGGAUAAAAGGUACUCCGGGGAUAACAGGCUGAUACCGCCCAAGAGUUCAUAUCGACGGCGGUGUUUGGCACCUCGAUGUCGGCUCAUCACAUCCUGGGGCUGAAGUAGGUCCCAAGGGUAUGGCUGUUCGCCAUUUAAAGUGGUACGCGAGCUGGGUUUAGAACGUCGUGAGACAGUUCGGUCCCUAUCUGCCGUGGGCGCUGGAGAAUUGAGGGGGGCUGCUCCUAGUACGAGAGGACCGGAGUGGACGCAUCACUGGUGUUCGGGUUGUCAUGCCAAUGGCACUGCCCGGUAGCUAAAUGCGGAAGAGAUAAGUGCUGAAAGCAUCUAAGCACGAAACUUGCCCCGAGAUGAGUUCUCCCUGAGACUAUAAGUCUCCUGAAGGAACGUUGAAGACGACGACGUUGAUAGGCCGGGUGUGUAAGCGCAGCGAUGCGUUGAGCUAACCGGUACUAAUGAACCGUGAGGCUUAACCUU
RNAcentral lists this ribosomal RNA (2524 nucleotides) under Klebsiella pneumoniae. Its description in RNAcentral is "partial 23S ribosomal RNA". It matches the Rfam family "Bacterial large subunit ribosomal RNA", at positions 419 to 2925 of the family's 2925-position model. The record is from RNAcentral. Lineage: Bacteria; Pseudomonadati; Pseudomonadota; Gammaproteobacteria; Enterobacterales; Enterobacteriaceae.